RNAcentral lists this ribosomal RNA (343 nucleotides) under Nematoda environmental sample. RNAcentral describes it as "bacterial SSU rRNA". It matches the Rfam family "Eukaryotic small subunit ribosomal RNA", at positions 1300 to 1665 of the family's 1831-position model. Lineage: Eukaryota; Metazoa; Nematoda. The record is from RNAcentral.
CGUGGAGCGAUUUGUCUGGUUUAUUCCGAUAACGAGCGAGACUCUAGCCUACUAAAUAGUCUGCACAUUGCUUUGUGUCGCAGUACUUCUUAGAGGGAUUUUCGGUGUACAGCCGCACGAAAUUGAGCAAUAACAGGUCUGUGAUGCCCUUAGAUGUCCGGGGCUGCACGCGCGCUACACUGAAGGAACCAGCGUGCAUACUAACCUGGUCCGAAAGGACCGGGUAACCCAAUCAAACUCCUUCGUGAUUGGGAUAGGGACUUGCAAUUAUUUCCCUUGAGCGAGGAAUUCCCAGUAAGUGCGGGUCAUAAGCUCGCGUUGAAUACGUCCCUGCCCUUUGUAC